RNAcentral lists this ribosomal RNA (424 nucleotides) under uncultured prokaryote. RNAcentral describes it as "bacterial SSU rRNA". It matches the Rfam family "Bacterial small subunit ribosomal RNA", at positions 355 to 796 of the family's 1533-position model. The record is from RNAcentral.
UGGGGAAUCUUGGACAAUGGGGGCAACCCUGAUCCAGCGACGCCGCGUGGGUGAAGAAGGCCUUAGGGUUGUAAACCCCUUUCACCGGGGAGGAUGAUGACGGUAGCGACAGAAGAAGCCCCGCCUAACUCCGUGCCAGCAGCCGCGGUAAUACGGAGGGGGCAAGCGUUGUUCGGAUUUACUGGGCGUAAAGGGCGCGUAGGCGGACGGUCAAGUCAGAGGUGAAAGGCCCGGGCUCAACCUGGGACGUGCCUUUGAAACUGAUUGUCUUGAGUGCGGAAGAGGGUGACGGAAUUCCCAGUGUAGAGGUGAAAUUCGUAGAUAUUGGGAAGAACACCGGUGGCGAAGGCGGUCACCUGGUCCGCAACUGACGCUGAGGCGCGAAAGCGUGGGGAGCAAACAGGAUUAGAUACCCCCGUAGUCC